UUCAGAUGCAUGCUUGCAUCUCAGCAGGCCCAAAAAUUAACAGAAAAUAAAGGGAUCUUCAACUAGUAAGACCUUGUUGCAUAUUCCUGUUUUGACUGGGAGAACUUCAUCUGCAGAGACAAUCUGAACAGGUAUAUGUGAAAAGCUUUAGCAUGGUUGUGAAUCCCAGCAGGACAGAAACAAUAGAGGAUCAAACAAUUUCAUCAUCUUGUUACAUUGAGAUGAGCACCAAAAUAUGCUUGAGGUAAGGAUUAGGGCUUUAGAGAAUACCAGACCUGAAAAUAUGAUGGGAAAUUACAUGAAUACUUGAAUUGUGAUGUAGUCCAAGCAGAAUAGGCUGUUACAUUCCAGUCAUGGAACAGGCUAAUAUCUCCACAGCUGUAAUUGUAGUAUAUGAAGUACUGUUCCUUGCUAAGGUUGGAGUGGAAAUUAACACAGUAAAAGAGCCACUAAAAACUUUG
This is a long non-coding RNA of Pipra filicauda (Wire-tailed manakin), 461 nucleotides long. RefSeq lists it as uncharacterized. Lineage: Eukaryota; Metazoa; Chordata; Aves; Passeriformes; Pipridae. The record is from RefSeq and is a predicted model, not a curated record. The transcript has 2 exons.